Molecule: ribosomal RNA, 640 nt
Filed under: Staphylococcus hominis
Lineage: Bacteria; Bacillati; Bacillota; Bacilli; Caryophanales; Staphylococcaceae
Description: bacterial SSU rRNA
Rfam family: Bacterial small subunit ribosomal RNA
Source: RNAcentral
GUAGGGGUUUCCGCCCUUAGUGCUGCAGCUACGCAUAAGCACUCGCUGGGAGUACGACCGCAAGGUGAACUCAAAGGAAUGACGGGACCCGCACAGCGUGGAGCAUGUGGUUAAUCGAAGCAACGCGAAGACCUUACCAAUCUUGACACCUUUGACCUUCUAGAGAUAGAAGUUCCCUUCGGGGACAAAGUGACAGGUGGUGCAUGGUUGUCGUCAGCUCGUGUCGUGAGAUGUUGGGUUAAGUCCCGCAACGAGCGCAACCCUUAAGCUUAGUUGCCAUCAUUAAGUUGGGCACUCUAAGUUGACUGCCGGUGACAAACCGGAGGAAGGUGGGGAUGACGUCAAAUCAUCAUGCCCCUUAUGAUUUGGGCUACACACGUGCUACAAUGGACAAUACAAAGGGCAGCGAAACCGCGAGGUCAAGCAAAUCCCAUAAAGUUGUUCUCAGUUCGGAUUGUAGUCUGCAACUCGACUACAUGAAGCUGGAAUCGCUAGUAAUCGUAGAUCAGCAUGCUACGGUGAAUACGUUCCCGGGUCUUGUACACACCGCCCGUCACACCACGAGAGUUUGUAACACCCGAAGCCGGUGGAUAACCAUUUGGAGCUAGCCGUCGAAGGUGGGACAAAUGAUUGGGGUGAA